Molecule: ribosomal RNA, 301 nt
Filed under: uncultured bacterium
Lineage: Bacteria
Description: partial 16S ribosomal RNA
Rfam family: Bacterial small subunit ribosomal RNA
Source: RNAcentral
CAGCCGCCGCGGUAAUACGUAGGUGGCAAGCGUUGUCCGGAAUUAUUGGGCGUAAAGGGCUCGCAGGCGGUUUCUAAGUCUGAUGUGAAAGCCCCCGGCUCAACCGGGGAGGGUCAUUGGAAACUGGGAAACUUGAGUGCAGAAGAGGAGAGUGGAAUUCCACGUGUAGCGGUGAAAUGCGUAGAGAUGUGGAGGAACACCAGUGGCGAAGGCGACUCUCUGGUCUGUAACUGACGCUGAGGAGCGAAAGCGUGGGGAGCGAACAGGAUUAGAGACCCCCGUAGUCCCUGUCUCUUAUACA